This 449-nucleotide long non-coding RNA is filed under the name Triticum aestivum (bread wheat). RNAcentral describes it as "long non-coding RNA (TAES_LNC024142)". Lineage: Eukaryota; Viridiplantae; Streptophyta; Magnoliopsida; Poales; Poaceae. The record is from RNAcentral.
CCAACAUGAAAGACCAUUGGACAUGUAGCUUCAUGACAUGAAUCCAUAUGUGAGACCAAGUUACUUAAUUUCAGUCUCAUAAUUCAUGAAAGAACCAUACCUUUACACAAACUCCAGCAAAAGAUAUCAAAAGGGUGACCUUCCAGUCCCAGGUACCAUUACAAUAACAGAAAUUCAUAGCAGAAAUCACCAUGAGACUACUAAAUAGCAGUGCACCCCACUUAACAAAUGCUCUCAGCAUCGAUAGAAGUCAGGGUAAGCUGCUAAUAUUCUAGCAAAUUAAUUAGCAUCCAUAGUUGCAUACAGAUUACAGAUAAACACACAUCCCAGAAAAGACAAUCCCAACAGCAUUGACAUAUUCUGGCAACAUGAAUUCAUCACCACUCCUGAGCAUGCCAACAUUAGGACCAAGCAAACCAGAAGCUUGUGAGAAUUCACAAAUCAGUGUG